GACGGAGGAUGCAAGCGUUAUCCGGAAUGAUUGGGCGUAAAGCGUCCGCAGGUGGCAGUUCAAGUCUGCUGUCAAAGACCGGGGCUUAACUUCGGAAAGGCAGUGGAAACUGAACAGCUAGAGUAUGGUAGGGGCAGAGGGAAUUCCUGGUGUAGCGGUGAAAUGCGUAGAGAUCAGGAAGAACAUCGGUGGCGAAGGCGCUCUGCUGGACCAUAACUGACACUCAGGGACGAAAGCUAGGGGAGCGAA
This 249-nucleotide ribosomal RNA is filed under the name uncultured bacterium. Its description in RNAcentral is "partial 16S ribosomal RNA". It matches the Rfam family "Bacterial small subunit ribosomal RNA", at positions 524 to 772 of the family's 1533-position model. The record is from RNAcentral.